AAUAAGGAUAUGUUGACCGUGCUAAAAGAGAUGAUGAUUUCUUUUUAGUGAGGUAAAGUCCGGGCUCCUCCGGAAAAGAUGCCGGGCAAUAACCGGGCGGAAAAGAAAAACUGCUGGUUUUCAGUAAAGUUUCUUUUCCGACAGAAAGUGCUACAGAAAAUUACCGCCUGUAAUGGGUAAGGGUGAAAAGGCAGGGUAAGAGCCUACCGCGUUUUUGGCAACAGAAACGGCAUAAGUAAACCUCAUCUGGAGCAAAAUCAUAUAGCAGUUUGGUUUUCCGGCCUUAUGCUGCGGGUAGAUUGCUGGAAGUGCUAGGCAACUGGCAUUGCAGAUAGAUGGUCAACACGUUUUUAAUAAAACGUUCCAGAACCCGGCUUAUCAUAUCCUUUUUAUUU
This 395-nucleotide RNase P RNA is filed under the name Treponema succinifaciens DSM 2489. Its description in RNAcentral is "Bacterial RNase P class A". It matches the Rfam family "Bacterial RNase P class A". Rfam says of the family: Ribonuclease P (RNase P) is a ubiquitous endoribonuclease, found in archaea, bacteria and eukarya as well as chloroplasts and mitochondria. Its best characterised activity is the generation of mature 5'-ends of tRNAs by cleaving the 5'-leader elements of precursor-tRNAs. The record is from Rfam by way of RNAcentral. Lineage: Bacteria; Pseudomonadati; Spirochaetota; Spirochaetia; Treponematales; Treponemataceae.